Molecule: ribosomal RNA, 498 nt
Filed under: uncultured Glomeromycotina
Lineage: Eukaryota; Fungi; Glomeromycota
Description: partial small subunit ribosomal RNA
Rfam family: Eukaryotic small subunit ribosomal RNA
Source: RNAcentral
CCAAUAGCGUAUAUUAAAGUUGUUGCAGUUAAAAAGCUCGUAGUUGAAUUUCGGGAUCAGUACGCCGGUCGUGCCUUCGGUAUGUACUGGUGUUACUGGUUCCUACCUUCUGACGAACCGUCAUGUCAUUAAUUUGGGGUGGCGGGGAAUCAGGACGGUUACUUUGAAAAAAUUAGAGUGUUUAAAGAAGGCUCGCGCUUGAAUACAUUAGCCUGGAAUAAUGAAAUAGGACGUUCGAGCCUAUUUUGUUGGUUUCUAGGAUUGACGUAAUGAUUAAUAGGGAUAGUUGGGGGCAUUAGUAUUCAAUUGUCAGAGGUGAAAUUCUUGGAUUUAUUGAAGACUAACUACUGCGAAAGCAUUUGCCAAGGAUGUUUUCAUUAAUCAAGAACGAAAGUUAGGGGAUCGAAGACGAUCAGAUACCGUCGUAGUCUUAACCAUAAACUAUGCCGACUAGGGAUCGGAUGAUGUUAUUUUUAAUGACUCAUUCGGCGCCUUACG